Molecule: unclassified non-coding RNA, 390 nt
Filed under: fungal sp.
Lineage: Eukaryota; Fungi
Description: partial internal transcribed spacer region
Rfam family: Eukaryotic small subunit ribosomal RNA (bases 1-46)
Source: RNAcentral
AAGUCGUAACAAGGUCUCCGUAGGUGAACCUGCGGAGGGAUCAUUAACACGUAUCCAAACGUUCUAAACCAAACCGUGCUCCUCUUUUUCCCAUAUCGAGAAGGUGUAUAUGCAAGCCACAAGAUAGAUUCGGGACCGUCAAGGUCUUGUCUACUUGCAGUACUAUCAGUCCUCCGAGACUAAACCGAUCUUGUAUGGUGUAUGAAAGCUAUCUGGUUAUCAGUGCCACCCCGGCUCGACCCGGAGCCUGGUAACCUUAUUACUCCCUAUUUUUAACCCCUUUUUAUUUUACAUAAACUACUGACUUAAUACUGUUUGGCUUGGACUUCGGUCUAGUCAACUGUGUAUACGAAACGCGAACAACUCUUAGCAACGGAUAUCUUGGUUCUC